UCGGCCUCUUGGCGGCCAUGGCGGUAUACGUGCUGGUAUCGUCGUUGCUCCCGUGGUUGACCUGGGACACCGCAGACGACCCUCCAUAGCUCCCGGCCUGCUGGCGGGAAGACAGCGUCUCGCACUGCCGAUCGUAAAAAAUGUCGCGUUCUUUUCCCUCCGAGGGCUCGGUCGCCCUGAUAUGUGCAGCAGACUAACCUUGGAGUUUUGUCUGCUGGGAAUUAAGCUGUGAGGACAUGUUGGUGUCUUAGGAAAGCUGGUGACAAAGCUCUGCUUGUGAUGUGAACUUUAUGCCCAACCGUGGCCCGCUGAGAUCCAGAAGCCAGGAGGAAUAAGGCCUACCUUUUGGUCACCUGACUGAUCAGGACAGGUGGCAGAUGUGAUUAUAGGCCAUGAGCUUCAAAUGUGGCCUCUGCAACUUCAAGGACCUGCAGAACCACCCAUACAGGCUUUGGGCAGCGCCAUGCUUCUGUCCUGGCAGCCCUAAUUACAGACCACAUUUGCUUUGGCUUGAACUGUUCCUUCAAGACUGAAGUGAGAUCUGUGUGGUAGCACUAGAGGUAGAGGGCCCUCUUAAGAUUCAGCAUUUCCAUCUGACUAGCUGCAUGUGUCAUGGCCUUAGAAGUGAUGAUUAUGGAGGAGGAGGAAGCUAGCAGUAGGUGCUUGUGACAAAUAAACUUGUCAAUUCUUGAAACUUGUAA
Onychomys torridus (southern grasshopper mouse) is the source of this 701-nucleotide long non-coding RNA. RefSeq lists it as uncharacterized. Lineage: Eukaryota; Metazoa; Chordata; Mammalia; Rodentia; Cricetidae. The record is from RefSeq and is a predicted model, not a curated record. The transcript is spliced from 4 exons.